GGGUUGGAGAGGAGAUAUUUGCAGGUUUUUUAGAGGGGGGCUUGCUAGAGUUAGCAGACUCGUCCCCGGACGAAACAUCCUCUGAUGUAGGAACGCGUUUAAGUGUCUUCGCUGUUCCUUUAUUUGUUUUUUCAACCAGAGGGGAGUCAUCAUCAGAGAUCUCCAUAUCUGGAGAUCCUCCCCCUCCUUCUGCCAUUCUGUAAUUGGUACUUAUAAUCACAAUGCACCCAGUGCUGAUGAACUGGCAACCGCUGCUUGCUUCUCAAUCGGAGCGCUUGAGCGCUCGGCACUAUCACACACCACUAAGAAGUGAUGCUCUCCUUCACACUGCUGUAAGUGAACAGCGAAUCGCGCUGGUAUUGUGUGCGUGCAACUGAGCACCGAUGUCCGACUUCGAUUGCGAUGGCGACAAAUCGGCGAAAACUGAAAGCCGGCUGGCCUUGCCAGGCUUUGAUGAUUCUGCUUUUCUCACUAAUUCCGAGUUCACACUGCGUUUUACGAUAUCUCGAACAGUUCUAAAACGCGCGAAAAAAGCACACCCGGGCGAUAAAAAAAAAUAACAGCCAACGGUAACCGAAAACAAUGCUUUAACGGAGACGCUCACAGCACAUGACCGGUUACUCGAAGCUUAUGCCGAAGAAUGACAAUCUACUUAUCAUCGAUCAGAAUACGUUCGAGUUGCUACAUGCACAUCAAUUCAUGCAAACGGAGUAUACUAUGUCACUGAUUUCGGCGAAGUUGGGUAACGACUCGAAUACUUAUUGCAUCGUCGGCACAGCACUGGUACAUCAAGUGGAACCGGAACCCAAAGUAGGAAGGAUUAUCAUCUAUCACUACGCGGAUGGAGCCCUCACUCAAGUUAGCGAGAAGGGAAUCAAGGGCGCGUGCUAUUCUCUCAUUGAGUUUAACCGUCGUGUAUUAGCUAGCAUCAAUUCAACUGUACGAUCGUAACCAUUUCAUUAACGUGUUGGCAUUAUAUUGUAAAACCAAGGGCGAUUGAUUUGAUGCGAUCUGUCACGCUGGAGGUAAUUUUGAGGAGAUCGCUCGCGACUAUUAACCAAAUUGGAUGACAGUGAUUUCCUCGAGCGGAUAACAGAACAAUCUAUUUGUUUGCCUAAAAGAUGGCCGCAGCAACGGACGACGAACGAUAGCAAGUACCAAAGGUUGCUCAAUGCGAUCUCGGUGAUGUGGUCAAUGUAUUCCACCACGGUUCGCUCGUGAUGCAAAACUUUGGUGAGCGAACGACGGCGACAACGAGUUGUGUGCUAUUUGGCAUAGUCAGCGAUGCAAUUGGGAAAUUUGACUGACACAAUCAAAUCUGUUGAAAAUUGCAGAUCGACGUGGAUGGAACUAAGAAGGAAGCGGCCGUACAUGAUAUAAUCAAGAUUAUAGAAGACCUAGCAUGGAUACAUCAGGAUGUCCAGUGUUGAUCAUUAAUAUUGAAUGGAUGCUAUCAGUUGUUUUCUGGUUGACAAAACGAGAAGUUACAAAUUUUUCUAAAAAAGUUGAUUAAUAAAUCAACUCAUUCAAAGAGAUGUUCGAACUGGCUGCUGGACGAAGAUCGAGCAAGCUCAUGAAUUUCAGCAAUGGUCGCGAAAAAUAAUUUCAUG
Molecule: long non-coding RNA, 1610 nt
Organism: Toxorhynchites rutilus septentrionalis
Lineage: Eukaryota; Metazoa; Arthropoda; Insecta; Diptera; Culicidae
Exons: 4
Source: RefSeq, a predicted model, not a curated record